Molecule: ribosomal RNA, 600 nt
Filed under: Debaryomyces hansenii
Lineage: Eukaryota; Fungi; Ascomycota; Pichiomycetes; Serinales; Debaryomycetaceae
Description: eukaryotic LSU rRNA
Rfam family: Eukaryotic large subunit ribosomal RNA
Source: RNAcentral
UAAGCGGAGGAAAAGAAACCAACAGGGAUUGCCUUAGUAACGGCGAGUGAAGCGGCAAAAGCUCAAAUUUGAAAUCUGGCGCCUUCGGUGUCCGAGUUGUAAUUUGAAGAAGGUAACUUUGGAGUUGGCUCUUGUCUAUGUUCCUUGGAACAGGACGUCACAGAGGGUGAGAAUCCCGUGCGAUGAGAUGCCCAAUUCUAUGUAAAGUGCUUUCGAAGAGUCGAGUUGUUUGGGAAUGCAGCUCUAAGUGGGUGGUAAAUUCCAUCUAAAGCUAAAUAUUGGCGAGAGACCGAUAGCGAACAAGUACAGUGAUGGAAAGAUGAAAAGAACUUUGAAAAGAGAGUGAAAAAGUACGUGAAAUUGUUGAAAGGGAAGGGCUUGAGAUCAGACUUGGUAUUUUGCGAUCCUUUCCUUCUUGGUUGGGUUCUCCGCAGCUUACUGGGCCAGCAUCGGUUUGGAUGGUAGGAUAAUGAUUAAGGAAUGUGGCUCUACUUCGGUGGAGUGUUAUAGCCUUGGUUGAUACUGCCUGUCUAGACCGAGGACUGCGUCUUUGACUAGGAUGCUGGCAUAAUGAUCUUAAGCCACCCGUCUUGAAACACG